CCAACGAUUUGAGAAUGUUUGAAACCUACAACGGUAUUGAGAGAAUGUUCGAAACUAGCCUACAACGGUAAAGAAAAUUCAAAAUGGCAUGGAGCGGGGAAAAGCAUUUGAAGUGAACAUCAUAACCCUUGGCACAUCGUUUGUUUGCAGUGUGCGCACUGAUCUGUCUGUCCAGGAUUUUCAUCGAUUAUUUAGGUUUUUUUUGGUUUACGGUAGAAGAUGAAAAGGCAAAGCAGAAGAUCAGGAAAAAUAGCAAUUGAAUGAGGGCAAAAAGAACAGGAAAAAUAGCAAUUGAAUGAGGGCAAAAUUGCAAAAUUCUUUUUGCCAGAUUGACUCAUGUUUAUGUUUCAACCAUUCAUGGCACUCACAUUGGAUUCAUGGGUUGGGUCCAUUUCUCUUGCUGGUAUUAGCACUUCGCAUAGGCCAUUAACAACUGAGGAUUACUGAGCUGCAUCAUCAACUUAGCAAAGUUGCAAUCAUCAAAGUUGACGUGUUAGGUGAGAUUGACACGAAUGAUUAAAUAUGAAACUCGGGGCCGACUUUUGGUUAAAGUCCGCCACCCCUCAUUUGAAGGCAUGCGAUGCUUCAUGAAGGUCAUGGCUCCUUGAUGAGAGAUGACUCUUGGAUAUCUCCUUUUGUUGGAUAUAUAUGGAUGUGGUCUUCCUUCUGUGGAAUAGAGAUGAGACAAGAAGUUCGAUCAUAAUCAGACAAAUCAAUUUCAUGUACAAGCAGAUCAAUUGAUGGUGAAAAAUAUAUGUAGCGUGCUCGGGGGUGACGAUAAGAGCUU
This is a long non-coding RNA of Cryptomeria japonica (Japanese cedar), 787 nucleotides long. RefSeq lists it as uncharacterized. Lineage: Eukaryota; Viridiplantae; Streptophyta; Pinopsida; Cupressales; Cupressaceae. The transcript is spliced from 5 exons. The record is from RefSeq and is a predicted model, not a curated record.